UACGUAGGGUGCUAGCGUUGUUCGGAAUCACUGGGCGUAAAGGGAGUGUAGGUGGGUUUAUAAGUUAGAAGUGAAAUAUACAGGCUUAACCUGUAGACUGCUUCUAAUACUGUAGAUCUUGAAUAUGGGAGAGGAAGAUGGAAUUCCAGGUGUAGUGGUAAAAUACGUAGAUAUCUGGAAGAACACCAGUUGCGAAGGCGGUCUUCUGGCCCAAUAUUGACACUGAGGCUCGAAAGCUAGGGGAG
RNAcentral lists this ribosomal RNA (245 nucleotides) under uncultured bacterium. RNAcentral's name for it is "partial 16S ribosomal RNA". It matches the Rfam family "Bacterial small subunit ribosomal RNA", at positions 524 to 768 of the family's 1533-position model. The record is from RNAcentral.